CCCCUACGGGUCGCAGCAGUGGGGAAUAUUGCACAAUGGGGGAAACCCUGAUGCAGCGACGCCGCGUGAGUGAAGAAGUAUUUCGGUAUGUAAAGCUCUAUCAGCAGGGAAGAAAAUGACGGUACCUGACUAAGAAGCCCCGGCUAACUACGUGCCAGCAGCCGCGGUAAUACGGAGGAUGCGAGCGUUAUCCGGAUUUAUUGGUUUUAAAGGGAGCGUAGGCGGUCCGUUAAGGCAGCGGUAAAAUUGCGGGGCUCAACCCCGUCGAGC
This 270-nucleotide ribosomal RNA is filed under the name uncultured bacterium. Its description in RNAcentral is "partial 16S ribosomal RNA". It matches the Rfam family "Bacterial small subunit ribosomal RNA", at positions 336 to 624 of the family's 1533-position model. The record is from RNAcentral.